Molecule: ribosomal RNA, 772 nt
Filed under: Escherichia coli
Lineage: Bacteria; Pseudomonadati; Pseudomonadota; Gammaproteobacteria; Enterobacterales; Enterobacteriaceae
Description: partial 23S ribosomal RNA
Rfam family: Bacterial large subunit ribosomal RNA
Source: RNAcentral
GGGUUGUGAGGUUAAGCGACUAAGCGUACACGGUGGAUGCCCUGGCAGUCAGAGGCGAUGAAGGACGUGCUAAUCUGCGAUAAGCGUCGGUAAGGUGAUAUGAACCGUUAUAACCGGCGAUUUCCGAAUGGGGAAACCCAGUGUGUUUCGACACACUAUCAUUAACUGAAUCCAUAGGUUAAUGAGGCGAACCGGGAGAACUGAAACAUCUAAGUACCCCGAGGAAAAGAAAUCAACCGAGAUUCCCCCAGUAGCGGCGAGCGAACGGGGAGCAGCCCAGAGCCUGAAUCAGUGUGUGUGUUAGUGGAAGCGUCUGGAAAGGCGCGCGAUACAGGGUGACAGCCCCGUACACAAAAAUGCACAUAUUGUGAGCUCGAUGAGUAGGGCGGGACACGUGGUAUCCUGUCUGAAUAUGGGGGGACCAUCCUCCAAGGCUAAAUACUCCUGACUGACCGAUAGUGAACCAGUACCGUGAGGGAAAGGCGAAAAGAACCCCGGCGAGGGGAGUGAAAAAGAACCUGAAACCGUGUACGUACAAGCAGUGGGAGCACGCUUAGGCGUGUGACUGCGUACCUUUUGUAUAAUGGGUCAGCGACUUAUAUUCUGUAGCAAGGUUAACCGAAUAGGGGAGCCGAAGGGAAACCGAGUCUUAACUGGGCGUUAAGUUGCAGGGUAUAGACCCGAAACCCGGUGAUCUAGCCAUGGGCAGGUUGAAGGUUGGGUAACACUAACUGGAGGACCGAACCGACUAAUGUUGAAAAAUUAGCGGAUG